AUCGCUUCUCGGCCUUUUGGCUAAGAUCAAAUGUAGUAUCUGUUCUUAUCAGGUUAAUUUCUGAUACGUCCUCUAUCUGAGGACAAUAUGUUAAAUGCAUUUUUGCAAGCAGGACUUGGACUAGGCACUAACUCCUUCUACUCCACGCAUCAACCUGGCAUUGCAGUACUUCCAGGAAUGGCGCAGCCCCU
This is a small nuclear RNA of Echinops telfairi (small Madagascar hedgehog), 191 nucleotides long. RefSeq annotates it as U2 spliceosomal RNA. The transcript has a single exon. Lineage: Eukaryota; Metazoa; Chordata; Mammalia; Afrosoricida; Tenrecidae. The record is from RefSeq and is a predicted model, not a curated record.